GAUCUCGAAAGCCUGUCCCAGUUCGGACUGGAGUCUGNAACCCGACUCCNCGAAGUUGGAUUCGCUAGUAAUCGCGCAUCAGCCAUGGCGCGGUGAAUACGUUCCCGGGCCUUGUACACACCGCCCGUCAAGCCAUGGGAGCCGGGGGCGCCUGAAGUCCGGGACCGCGAGGAGCGACCUAGGGCAAAACUGGUGACUGGGGCUAAGUCGUAACAAGGUAAC
RNAcentral lists this ribosomal RNA (222 nucleotides) under uncultured bacterium. RNAcentral describes it as "partial 16S ribosomal RNA". It matches the Rfam family "Bacterial small subunit ribosomal RNA", at positions 1270 to 1500 of the family's 1533-position model. The record is from RNAcentral.